This 568-nucleotide ribosomal RNA is filed under the name uncultured bacterium. RNAcentral's name for it is "bacterial SSU rRNA". It matches the Rfam family "Bacterial small subunit ribosomal RNA", at positions 338 to 916 of the family's 1533-position model. The record is from RNAcentral.
CCUACGGGAGGCAGCAGUGGGGAAUAUUGCACAAUGGGCGAAAGCCUGAUGCAGCAACGCCGCGUGAGGGACGACGGCCUUCGGGUUGUAAACCUCUUUUAGUAGGGAAGAAGCGAAAGUGACGGUACCUGCAGAAAAAGCACCGGCUAACUACGUGCCAGCAGCCGCGGUAAUACGUAGGGUGCAAGCGUUGUCCGGAAUUAUUGGGCGUAAAGAGCUCGUAGGCGGUUUGUCGCGUCUGCUGUGAAAACCCGAGGCUCAACCUCGGACCUGCAGUGGGUACGGGCAGACUAGAGUGCGGUAGGGGAGAUUGGAAUUCCUGGUGUAGCGGUGGAAUGCGCAGAUAUCAGGAGGAACACCGAUGGCGAAGGCAGAUCUCUGGGCCGUAACUGACGCUGAGGAGCGAAAGCAUGGGGAGCGAACAGGAUUAGAUACCCUGGUAGUCCAUGCCGUAAACGUUGGGAACUAGAUGUAGGGACCAUUCCACGGUUUCUGUGUCGCAGCUAACGCAUUAAGUUCCCCGCCUGGGGAGUACGGCCGCAAGGCUAAAACUUAAAUGAAUUGACGG